This 1777-nucleotide ribosomal RNA is filed under the name Fusarium oxysporum f. sp. melonis 26406. RNAcentral's name for it is "SSU rRNA". It matches the Rfam family "Eukaryotic small subunit ribosomal RNA". Lineage: Eukaryota; Fungi; Ascomycota; Sordariomycetes; Hypocreales; Nectriaceae. The record is from RNAcentral.
CCUGGUUGAUUCUGCCAGUAGUCAUAUGCUUGUCUCAAAGAUUAAGCCAUGCAUGUCUAAGUAUAAGCAAUUAUACCGCGAAACUGCGAAUGGCUCAUUAUAUAAGUUAUCGUUUAUUUGAUAGUACCUUACUACUUGGAUAACCGUGGUAAUUCUAGAGCUAAUACAUGCUAAAAAUCCCGACUUCGGAAGGGAUGUAUUUAUUAGAUUAAAAACCAAUGCCCUUCGGGGCUCACUGGUGAUUCAUGAUAACUCCUCGAAUCGCAUGGCCUUGUGCCGGCGAUGGUUCAUUCAAAUUUCUUCCCUAUCAACUUUCGAUGUUUGGGUAUUGGCCAAACAUGGUUGCAACGGGUAACGGAGGUUAGGGCUCGACCCCGGAGAAGGAGCCUGAGAAACGGCUACUACAUCCAAGGAAGGCAGCAGGCGCGCAAAUUACCCAAUCCCGACACGGGGAGGUAGUGACAAUAAAUACUGAUACAGGGCUCUUUUGGGUCUUGUAAUUGGAAUGAGUACAAUUAAAUCCCUUAACGAGGAACAAUUGGAGGGCAAGUCUGGUGCCAGCAGCCGCGGUAAUUCCAGCUCCAAUAGCGUAUAUUAAAGUUGUUGUGGUUAAAAAGCUCGUAGUUGAACCUUGGGCCUGGCUGGCCGGUCCGCCUCACCGCGUGUACUGGUCCGGCCGGGCCUUUCCCUCUGUGGAACCCCAUGCCCUUCACUGGGUGUGGCGGGGGAACAGGACUUUUACUGUGAAAAAAUUAGAGUGCUCCAGGCAGGCCUAUGCUCGAUACAUUAGCAUGGAAUAAUAGAUAGGACGUGUGGUUCUAUUUUGUUGGUUUCUAGGACCGCCGUAAUGAUUAAUAGGGACAGUCGGGGGCAUCAGUAUUCAAUUGUCAGAGGUGAAAUUCUUGGAUUUAUUGAAGACUAACUACUGCGAAAGCAUUUGCCAAGGAUGUUUUCAUUAAUCAGGAACGAAAGUUAGGGGAUCGAAGACGAUCAGAUACCGUCGUAGUCUUAACCAUAAACUAUGCCGACUAGGGAUCGGACGGUGUUAUUUUUUGACCCGUUCGGCACCUUACGAGAAUCAAAGUGCUUGGGCUCCAGGGGAGUAUGGUCGCAAGGCUGAACUUAAAGAAAUUGACGGAAGGGCACCACCAGGGGUGGAGCCUGCGGCUUAAUUUGACUCAACACGGGGAAACUCACCAGGUCCAGACACAAUGAGGAUUGACAGAUUGAGAGCUCUUUCUUGAUUUUGUGGGUGGUGGUGCAUGGCCGUUCUUAGUUGGUGGAGUGAUUUGUCUGCUUAAUUGCGAUAACGAACGAGACCUUAACCUGCUAAAUAGCCCGUAUUGCUUUGGCAGUACGCUGGCUUCUUAGAGGGACUAUCGGCUCAAGCCGAUGGAAGUUUGAGGCAAUAACAGGUCUGUGAUGCCUAGAUGUUCUGGGCCGCACGCGCGCUACACUGACGGAGCCAGCGAGUACUUCCUUGUCCGAAAGGUCCGGGUAAUCUUGUUAAACUCCGUCGUGCUGGGGAUAGAGCAUUGCAAUUAUUGCUCUUCAACGAGGAAUCCCUAGUAAGCGCAAGUCAUCAGCUUGCGUUGAUUACGUCCCCUGCCCUUUGUACACACCGCCCGUCGCUACUACCGAUUGAAUGGCUCAGUGAGGCGUCCGGACUGGCCCAGAGAGGUGGGCAACUACCACUCAGGGCCGGAAAGCUCUCCAAACUCGGUCAUUUAGAGAAGUAAAAGUCGUAACAAGGUCUCCGUUGGUGAACCAGCGGAGG